GUAGGUGGCAAGCGUUGUCCGGAAUUAUUGGGCGUAAAGCGCGCGCAGGCGGUCCUUUAAGUCUGAUGUGAAAGCCCACGGCUCAACCGUGGAGGGUCAUUGGAAACUGGGGGGACUUGAGUACAGAAGAGGAAAGCGGAAUUCCACGUGUAGCGGUGAAAUGCGUAGAGAUGUGGAGGAACACCAGUGGCGAAGGCGGCUUUUCUGGUCUGUAACUGACGCUGAGGCGCGAAAGCGUGGGGAGCAAACAGGGAUUAGAUACCCUGGUAGUCCACGCCGUAAACGAUGAGUGCUAAGUGUUAGGGGGUUUCCGCCCCCUUAGUGCUGCAGCUAACGCAUUAAGCACUCCGCCUGGGGAUACGGCCGCAAGGCUG
This 374-nucleotide ribosomal RNA is filed under the name uncultured organism. RNAcentral's name for it is "partial 16S ribosomal RNA". It matches the Rfam family "Bacterial small subunit ribosomal RNA", at positions 527 to 896 of the family's 1533-position model. The record is from RNAcentral.